CCUACGGGAGGCAGCAGUGAGGAAUAUUGGUCAAUGGACGAGAGUCUGAACCAGCCAAGUAGCGUGAAGGAUGACUGCCCUAUGGGUUGUAAACUUCUUUUAUAAAGGAAUAAAACGAGGCACGUGUGCCUUUUUGCAUGUACUUUAUGAAUAAGGAUCUGCUAACUCCGUGCCAGCAGCCGCUGUAAUACGGAGGAUCCGGGCGUUAUCCGGAUUUAUUUGGUUUAAUGGGAGCGUAGAUGGGUUGUUAAGUCAGUUGUGAAAGUUUGCGGCUCAACCGUAAAAUUGCAAUUGGGACUGGCAGUCUUGAGUACAGUUGAGGUAGGCGGAAUUCGUGGUGUAGCGGUGAAAUGCUUAGAUAUCACGAAGAACCCCGAUUGCGAAGGCAGCUUACUAAACUGUGACUGACAUUGAUGCUCGAAAGUGUGGGUAUCAAACAGGAUUAGAUACCCCAGUAGUC
This 460-nucleotide ribosomal RNA is filed under the name uncultured bacterium. RNAcentral's name for it is "partial 16S ribosomal RNA". It matches the Rfam family "Bacterial small subunit ribosomal RNA", at positions 338 to 795 of the family's 1533-position model. The record is from RNAcentral.